This 363-nucleotide ribosomal RNA is filed under the name uncultured bacterium. Its description in RNAcentral is "bacterial SSU rRNA". It matches the Rfam family "Bacterial small subunit ribosomal RNA", at positions 535 to 896 of the family's 1533-position model. The record is from RNAcentral.
CGAGCGUUGUCCGGAUUUACUGGGCGUAAAGCGCGCGCAGGUGGUCCUGAAAGUCGAGCGUGAAAGCUCCCGGCCCAACUGGGAGAGGCCGUUCGAAACUUCAGGACUUGAAGGCGGGAGAGGCAAAUGGAAUUUCCGGUGUAGCGGUAAAAUGCGUAGAUACCGGAAGGAACACCAGUGGCGAAAGCGAUUUGCUGGCCCGCCCUUGACACUCAGGCGCGAAAGCUAGGGGAGCGACCGGGAUUAGAUACCCCGUUAGUCCUAGCCGUAAACAAUGGGCACUAGGUGUUGUCGGUAUCGACCCCGGCAGUGCCGAAGCUAACGCAUUAAGUGCCCCGCCUGGGGAGUACGACCGCAAGGUUA